CAACCACCACCACCACCACCACCACCACCACCACCAGCAUGGCAGUAGUAGCAGGAGUAGUGAAUGGUCACACGUAUGUGGUGACUUCUUGGACUAUCAGGCUGCCCUUGUAGUGUGUUGGACUAUCGGUGAACAAGGAGACCUGAAAGUUACGUGGUACAACUAUUUCGGUGAUAGAAGUGGCUGAGUUGCCGAUCCAAAGGCCUGGCUUAAGAGUGAUCCCGAGCUAUCUGUACCAUCAAGAUCAAGAUCGAGCGUCCAUAUCAGAUGGCGAGUCUGCUUACAAAAUUGCAUCGGAGGGACUGAUAGAGGCAUCCACAAUUAUCCAUCAUCAUCGGCGACACCAUGGCUCUUGAGAAGACAGACAGACCUCGAUGACAGCGUGGUGAGCGAGGAGGGGGAGUCAACCAGCAGAGUAGGGGAGCAUGACCCCUACUUUGAACCAGUGGUGACCUUGCUGGAGGUCUUCGUGGUUAGUGAUGAUGACCAGGAGGAGGAAAUGAUAACACUGAGUUUCGAGGUCAGGUCAGGCAGUACAAGCUGUUUCAUUAUCACACCUCUGAGUCGCCCCCACAGUGGAAGGAACGGGGCAUGGGGGCCAUUAACAUUCUGAGGAACAAGCAGAAGAAGGCUGUGGAGUUUGUUCAGCGGCAGAAUUAAUGCCAGUGGCUGAGUUCAGAUCCUCCAAGACACACACACACACACACAGCAGCCCCUCCACCUCCCCACAGCCCUCCACAGUCUCUGACACAGCCCCUGACACAGCAUCUGACACAGCCCCUUCACAGACCACAUAUAUCUCACACAUACAUAAGAACAUAAGAAAUAAGGGAAGCUGCAAGAAGCGACCAGGCUUACACGUGGCAGUCCCUGUAUGAAAUAUACCUACUUAUUUCCAUCUGUUAUCCCCAUCCAUAAACUUGUCUAAUCUUCUCUUAAAGCUCUCUAGUGUCCUAGCACUAACUACAUGAUUACUGAGUCCAUUCCAAUCAUCUAUCACUCUGAGAACCAAUUUUUUUCUUAUCUCCUUCCUAAACCUAAAUUUUUUAAGCUUGUACCCAUUAUUUCUUUUUCUACCCUGGUUGCUGAUCCUAAGAAUUUUGCCUACAUCCCCCUUAUGUCACUCAAAGACUUCUAUCAGGUCCCCCUCUUAACCUACGUAUCUCUAAAGAAUGUAAAUUUAACAGCUUCAACCUCGCCUCGUAAGGAAUACUCCUCAUCCCCUGUAUCCUUUUAGUCAUUCUCCUCUGUACUGAUUCUAAUAGACCUAUAUCUUUCCUGUAAUGUGGGGACCAGAACUGCACAGCGUAGUCUAGAUGAGGUCUGACCAGCACCAAGUAUAACUUUAAUAUUACUUUGGGCCUUCUACUUUUAACACUCCUAAAAAUCACACACACCACAAGAGCCUCACAAACAGUCUCACAGCCUUCACAAGCAGCCCCACACUCCACCACAGACACACCAGACCCACAGCCCUUCACCUCACCCACUUCCCAGCCCCCCACAGCCCCCCCAGCCACCACAAAUGAAGUCAAAGGAAGGGACUGUGGCUUCACCCAGCCAGCCAGGACAGCCUACAGAGAGGGGGUAGUCCCAGUCAAGUCACAAAAUAUAGGCUUGGUUCUUCCUACAGUUUGAAGUCAAUGAUUGGACAGGCCAGACAGCUUAGUGGCAGAGCUGCAGGUGGCCCUCGUCAGCUUCCUGGUGGCACAGGUGUAGGAUGGCUGGGAGCAGUGGAGGUGCCUGAUGGGGCAGCUGUGCCGGGCAGAGGGGCUGCUACUGCUGCUGCGGAGAGCCACACUUGUAUGGUGGUAACACGGAGAGGAAGUGGAAGAAACCUUGGGACGCUCCCAUAACUCAGGAGCAAGAAUUACACCUUACUGGAACCUUGUGACUGACAGGUGGUGGUGACUGCAGGAACCAAUUCAGCCUUCCGCCACAAGACCACCGCACCUCGACGUCUCUCGCUGCGAGUCGUGGAAGGGGCCGAGCGGGGACGCCAGGCUGGAGGAAAACGAGACAAUGAUCCCUAUUCUGAAACACUUCUGCGCCGCACCUCCACUAAACUGAUAAGACUCUAAAUGAAGUUGCACAGGUUUUCAAAAGAUGUUUUUAUGGUUCUAGUGACAGAUUAACACGAUUUCUAUAUUAUUAACAGGGGAAAUGCAUUUAAAACCCGGCUAUUCAGAACCUGUCAUCAUUUGAAAAGAAAAAAAAAAUGUGGUGAGACAAAUGAAGCGUUUCAGAAUACGUAGGUGUUGUUUUGCUUGUUGUCCACUGUAUAAAAGAUGCAACGCGAGUUUCUGCAAAUACUGAAAGAGGUGAAGGAACGUGCAAUUCUAAGUAGGAAAUGUUCUAUACACAUAUGCAUUUUAAGGCUUUGUUUACCCGUCAGAGGAGUUGAAAAUGUAUGGGACUCGUUGGUGUGCUGCUAUGCGUGUAGCUGACGUGAAGAACAGACGGCUGCAUUGUCGCAGCCUCGGAGGUGCCACUUAAUCUUAUUUUUUGCAGGCUGUGGAAUAUUGCAGUAUCUUAUAACAAGACAAAUGGUAUUAAAAAGCAUGUGAUUUACCAAUAAGCAUUACACGACAACAUUAUUGCGGUGAUUAUAAGUACUCCUUUAAAAUGCUAAGUGGCAUCAUCACUCAGCUGUUUUCAAGGUCGCUCGGACUCGGUGCCCUCCUCCGCUCCUCCUUCGCUUCGAUGAUGCCACGUAGUAUUUUACAGGAGAGAGAGAGAGAGAGAGAGAGAGAGAGAGAGAGAGAGAGAGAGAGAGAGAGAGAGAGAGAGAGAGAGAAGCUAAGCAUUAAGAAGCUGAUUCAUUAUCAUUUCCUACGAGGCUGUUUCUUACUACGCUCCUUCCCCGACGUGCGCGCGCGUGUGUGUGUGUGUGCUUAUUUGUAUAGCAGUAUGUUGUUCUAUGUAAGCUCGUUUUAAGCGGGCGUACGUUUGGUUUAAUUAAAUGCCAAUAAACACCAAUAUCACUGUAAUAAAAAAAAAAAAGAACGCAGAUAUCAAACACUACUGAGAGAGAGAGAGAGAGAGAGAGAGAGAGAGAGAGAGAGAGAGAGAGAGAGAGAGAGAGAGAGAGAGAGAG
This is an RNA transcript of Scylla paramamosain (green mud crab), 3097 nucleotides long. It is a transcript of the gene named ran-specific GTPase-activating protein-like, with no coding region annotated. Lineage: Eukaryota; Metazoa; Arthropoda; Malacostraca; Decapoda; Portunidae. The transcript has 8 exons. The record is from RefSeq and is a predicted model, not a curated record.